This 2026-nucleotide long non-coding RNA is filed under the name Helianthus annuus (common sunflower). RNAcentral's name for it is "sRNA HanXRQr2_Chr16g0726781". Lineage: Eukaryota; Viridiplantae; Streptophyta; Magnoliopsida; Asterales; Asteraceae. The record is from RNAcentral.
UCUAUAUCCUGUAUAAUCAUCAUUCAUCAACAACACAAUCUAUUUAAGUAUGUAACUCCCAUACUUCUAACUAUUAGACUAUGAGCCCACGGGCUUAGUUAGGUUUCUAGGGUUACCCACUGGGUUUGGUAGGUGACAGCCACCGGAUUCUGUACCCGUGGCGGUGGCAGGACUAGGCCUACAUAUACUGCUGCUACUGCUACUCCGAGCAAGAGAUGUGGUGGAUGACAUGUUUGUUGGGCGGCGGGAGGAGAUUGGCGAAUUAGGGCAGAAACCACCUUGAACAGAUUCCAAUUCCGGUUGAGAUUCAUUAUUGGAUGACGAAAUUGAUAUACCAGCCGACUUAAGCAACUUUGAGGCAACUGAUAAACCCGAUCGGCUUUGUGGCUGCCGUAACGUAACAUUCGCCGUCGAAGAUUUACUUGUUCUUACAGUCAAUGAUUGUGAAACCACAAGUUGUCUCCUCUGUAACAACGAUUCAGGUGUUUCCAUGCUUUGUACACUCUUCGGAAUGUUCUCGUGUGACGACCAGGAGGAAGAAAACGGUUCCCGUGCUUGACUGCCUCUCUGUGAAGGCGACGGCUUUGAUGAUCGGUCAAAUGCCAGAGUUGAGGCAGAUGAAAAUGGAGAUAUGAACCUGGAGCCGACCUCUCUGACUCUAGGGCGGUGGUGAGGCAGCGGAGGAGCUGCUCCGUGGUCAGCCGGCGCGUCAACGGAACUAGUCAUCUCCCUAAACACUAAAAACCAUAUCUAACCACCAUCUCAAGACCGGAGACCAUGUCAAAGUUCGCCUACAACGUCGUCUUCUCUCUCCGGUGAAACAGAAGCAUAUGAGUAGCAGUAGUAGCAAGCAGCAUAUGUAAGCCUAGUCCUGCCACCGCCACGGGUACAGAAUCCGGUGGGCUGCCACCUACCAAACUCGGAAAUGGUUCGACCAAGGGGAAGAAACCUCAGUGUUCUCAACAAGAUGUUCAUUCUAGAAAAUAUAUAGGGAUUACGAGUAACCCUAGAAACCUAACUAAGCACGUGGGCUCAUAGUCUAAUACUAACUACCUUCAUUAACAUGUUAUGAAAUGUUGAUGUACCACAAAUGAUACCUGCUGAAGAAGAUUGUGUUGUGUCAAAGUUUCUUGCAUCUCUAGCUUAUGUUUCCUUUUGAGUUUCUUCAUUUCUUCUUCGAGUUGGUGCACGUGACCUUUAAGAGUAUCAGCUUCUUCUUUUAACGCCAGCUGCAGCUUUGGCCUCUGCAUCCUGCAAAUUGAGCUAUCAGGGAAGCUUACGGAUAUAAAGAUGUUACGCUUGAAAUAAUACACACACACACACGUAUAUCUAUAUAAACUAUUUAUGGGACCUGAAGCUGCAGAUUUAGUGAUCUCUCCGCUUCAUCCCAAGCGUCUGCUUUUCUAGCAGUUGCUUCCUAUAGAUGAAAUAUCAGCGUACGAACCAAGCUCAACGUAUAAUGUGUCGAAUGAAAAAAAAAAAAAAAAAUACCUGCAUUGCCUCAAUCUGCCUCAAAAGAGGCCUCGUAGAUUCGGGAACUUGCAUAACCAGUUCUUCACAUCUACGUUCGCUGGCCUGAAGACAGAUGAUAAUGGUCGUCGAUGUCUUUCCUAAGCAUAUCUUCUCUGUAAACUGCCUGCAACAAGAGACUCAAUAGCAGCAUCUGAUUUUCUCUGCAUAGAAACUAAGAGUUAGUAUGGAACUAUAAGCCCGGUUUUCUCAAUGACAAGCGUAAACGUGCACACACCUUCUGAUCAACGGCUAUAGAUUUCAACUGCUCGUUCUCAUUCAUCAGCUUUGCGAUUUCAUCAGCUUUUGCCUGUAACAGAUAAUUGUAAUGAUUUGAGGACAACUGAACAUACAAAAAUAUUGCAAAAACGAAGAGUCUUUUCUACAUUGUUUAGAACAUAUCAUCCAAAUACCACGCGUGCAACAAGAACGUCAGCUUUUUUUUAUAUAAGGGAAAGUGUAAAAUACAAUAUCCCUUAACGUACAAUACGUACGAGAUGAAAUUAUAACAUGCGUA